GACGAACGCUGGCAGCGUGCUUAACACAUGCAAGUCGAACGAAGAGCGAUGGAAGCUUGCUUCUAUCAAUCUUAGUGGCGAACGGGUGAGUAACGCGUAAUCAACCUGCCCUUCAGAGGGGGACAACAGUUGGAAACGACUGCUAAUACCGCAUACGAUCUAAUCUCGGCAUCGAGGAUAGAUGAAAGGUGGCCUCUACAUGUAAGCUAUCACUGAAGGAGGGGAUUGCGUCUGAUUAGCUAGUUGGAGGGGUAACGGCCCACCAAGGCGAUGAUCAGUAGCCGGUCUGAGAGGAUGAACGGCCACAUUGGGACUGAGACACGGCCCAGACUCCUACGGGAGGCAGCAGUGGGGAAUCUUCCGCAAUGGACGAAAGUCUGACGGAGCAACGCCGCGUGAGUGAUGACGGCCUUCGGGUUGUAAAGCUCUGUUAAUCGGGACGAAAGGCCUUCUUGCGAACAGUUAGAAGGAUUGACGGUACCGGAAUAGAAAGCCACGGCUAACUACGUG
RNAcentral lists this ribosomal RNA (510 nucleotides) under uncultured bacterium. RNAcentral's name for it is "partial 16S ribosomal RNA". It matches the Rfam family "Bacterial small subunit ribosomal RNA", at positions 28 to 507 of the family's 1533-position model. The record is from RNAcentral.